GCUUUCGUGGCUCAGUUGGCUAGAGCGUAGGUCUCAUAUCUCCAGCAUAUGACAUGGUUGUUAACAAUCACGUGAUCCUAAGGUCGCAAGUUCGAGCCUUGCCGAGAGCA
Molecule: transfer RNA, 110 nt
Organism: Pseudogymnoascus pannorum
Lineage: Eukaryota; Fungi; Ascomycota; Leotiomycetes; Thelebolales; Thelebolaceae
Rfam family: tRNA
About the family: Transfer RNA (tRNA) molecules are approximately 80 nucleotides in length. Their secondary structure includes four short double-helical elements and three loops (D, anti-codon, and T loops). Further hydrogen bonds mediate the characteristic L-shaped molecular structure. tRNAs have two regions of fundamental functional importance: the anti-codon, which is responsible for specific mRNA codon recognition, and the 3' end, to which the tRNAs corresponding amino acid is attached (by aminoacyl-tRNA synthetases). tRNAs cope with the degeneracy of the genetic code in two manners: having more than one tRNA (with a specific anti-codon) for a particular amino acid; and 'wobble' base-pairing, i.e. permitting non-standard base-pairing at the 3rd anti-codon position.
Source: Rfam